AGCAGCCGCGGUAAUUCCAGCUCCAAUAGCGUAUAUUAAAGUUGUUGCAGUUAAAAAGCUCGUAGUUGAAUUUUAGGCCUGACCGGACGGUCCGUCUCUGGCGAGUACUGUUCUGUUGUCGGGUCUAUCCUUCUGGUGAGCCGGUAUGCCCUUUAUUGGGUGUGUCGGGGAACCAGGACCAUUACCUUGAAAAAAUUAGAGUGUUUAAAGCGGGCUUUUGCUUGAAUAGAUUAGCAUGGAAUAAUAGAAUAGGACGUUGGUUCUAUUUUGUUGGUCUAGGACCACCGUAAUGAUUAAUAGGGAUAGUUGGGGGCAGUUAGUAUUCAAUUGUCAGAGGUGAAAUUCUUGGAUUUAUUGAAGACUAACUACUGCGAAAGCAUUUGCCAAGGAUGUUUCAUUAAUCAAGAACG
Molecule: ribosomal RNA, 410 nt
Filed under: uncultured Archaeospora
Lineage: Eukaryota; Fungi; Glomeromycota; Glomeromycetes; Archaeosporales; Archaeosporaceae
Description: SSU rRNA
Rfam family: Eukaryotic small subunit ribosomal RNA
Source: RNAcentral